UACGGAGGAUGCGAGCGUUAUCCGGAUUUAUUGGGUUUAAAGGGUGCGCAGGCGGAGGUGCAAGUCAGUGGUCAAAUUGCGGGGCUCAACCCCGGCCUGCCGUUGAAACUGGCGGCCUCGAGUGGGCGAGAAGUAUGCGGAAUGCGUGGUGUAGCGGUGAAAUGCAUAGAUAUCACGCAGAACUCCGAUUGCGAAGGCAGCAUACCGGCGCCCAACUGACGCUGAGGCACGAAAGCGUGGGUAUCGAACAGG
RNAcentral lists this ribosomal RNA (252 nucleotides) under uncultured Bacteroidales bacterium. Its description in RNAcentral is "partial 16S ribosomal RNA". It matches the Rfam family "Bacterial small subunit ribosomal RNA", at positions 524 to 776 of the family's 1533-position model. The record is from RNAcentral. Lineage: Bacteria; Pseudomonadati; Bacteroidota; Bacteroidia; Bacteroidales.